GAUGAAUGCUGGCGGCGUGCCUAACACAUGCAAGUCGAGCGGCAGCGAGGGGUGCUUGCACCCUGUCGGCGAGCGGCGAACGGCUGAGUAACGCGUAGGAAUUUGCCCCAAAGUGAGGAAUAACUGCCCGAAAGGGUAGCUAAUGCCGCAUAUGGUCUUCGGAUUAAAGGAUUUAUCCGCUUUGGGAGAAGCCUGCGUUGGAUUAGGUUGUUGGUAGGGUAAUGUCCUACCAAGCCGACGAUCCAUAGCUGGUCUGAGAGGAUGAUCAGCCAGACUGGAACUGAGACACGGUCCAGACUCCUACGGGAGGCAGCAGUGAGGAAUCUUCCACAAUGGGCGAAAGCCUGAUGGAGCAACGCCGCGUGAAGGAUGAAGGCAUUCGGGUUGUAAACUUCUUUUAUGAGCGAAGAAUAUGACGGUAACUCAUGAAUAAGCACCGGCUAACUACGUG
Molecule: ribosomal RNA, 451 nt
Filed under: uncultured bacterium
Lineage: Bacteria
Description: partial 16S ribosomal RNA
Rfam family: Bacterial small subunit ribosomal RNA
Source: RNAcentral